UACUCCUACNGGAGGCAGCAGCUAAGAAUCUUCCGCAAUGGGCGAAAGCCUGACGGAGCGACGCCGCGUGAACGAAGAAGGCCGUGAGGUUGUAAAGUUCUUUUCGGGAGGGGGAAUUACCGUGGCAGGGAAUGGCCGCGGGAUGACGUGAAUCCCGGAACAAGCCCCGGCUAACUACGUGCCAGCAGCCGCGGUAACACGUAGGGGGCGAGCGUUGUUCGGAAUCAUUGGGCGUAAAGGGCGUGCAGGCGGCACUGCAAGUCCGGCGUGAAAGACCCCGGCCCAACCGGGGGGGUGCGCUGGAAACUGCGGUGCUUGAGUACAGGAGGGGAUGCCGGAAUUCCAGGUGUAGGGGUGAAAUCUGUAGAUAUCUGGAAGAACACCGAUGGCGAAGGCAGGCAUCUGGCCAUGUACUGACGCUGAGACGCGAAGGUGCGGGGAGCAAACAGGUUUAGAUACCCUGGUAGUCCGCACAGUAAACGAUGUGCACCAGGUGGCGGGGGUAGAACCCCCGGUACCGUAGCAAACGCAUUAAGUGCACCGCCUGGGGAGUAUGCUCGCAAGGGUGAAACUCAAAGGAAUUGACGGGGGCCCGCACAAGCGGUGGAGCAUGUGGUUUAAUUCGAUGGUACGCGAGAAACCUUACCAGGGCUUGACAUACACCGGAAGCGCCGUGAAAGCGGCGUGCCGCUUGCGGCCGGUGAACAGGUGCUGCAUGGCUGUCGUCAGCUCGUGCUGUGAAGUGUUGGGUUAAGUCCCG
Molecule: ribosomal RNA, 760 nt
Filed under: uncultured bacterium
Lineage: Bacteria
Description: bacterial SSU rRNA
Rfam family: Bacterial small subunit ribosomal RNA
Source: RNAcentral